ACAGCAGUCGCCGCGGUAAUACGAAGGGGGCUAGCGUUGCUCGGAAUUACUGGGCGUAAAGGGCGCGUAGGCGGACAGUUCAGUCGGGGGUGAAAGCCCGGGGCUCAACCUCGGAAUUGCCUUCGAUACUGGCUGUCUUGAGUGUGAGAGAGGUGUGUGGAACUCCGAGUGUAGAGGUGAAAUUCGUAGAUAUUCGGAAGAACACCAGUGGCGAAGGCGACACACUGGCUCACUACUGACGCUGAGGCGCGAAAGCGUGGGGAGCAAACAGGAUUAGAUACCCCAGUAGUCCCUGUCUCUUAUAC
This 305-nucleotide ribosomal RNA is filed under the name uncultured bacterium. RNAcentral's name for it is "partial 16S ribosomal RNA". It matches the Rfam family "Bacterial small subunit ribosomal RNA", at positions 508 to 807 of the family's 1533-position model. The record is from RNAcentral.